GUUAAAAUAGCUUAAUGAGAGCAAAGCAUUGAAGCUGCUAUGGUGACAGUCAUGUCUUUUAACA
Molecule: transfer RNA, 64 nt
Filed under: Elliptorhina davidi
Lineage: Eukaryota; Metazoa; Arthropoda; Insecta; Blattodea; Blaberidae
Description: tRNA-Phe
Rfam family: tRNA
About the family: Transfer RNA (tRNA) molecules are approximately 80 nucleotides in length. Their secondary structure includes four short double-helical elements and three loops (D, anti-codon, and T loops).
Source: RNAcentral